AGGACUAACGCUGGCGGCGUGCCUAACACAUGCAAGUCGAGCGGACACCACUUUGUAGCAAUACAGAUGAAGUGUUAGCGGCAGACGGGUGAGUAACACGUAGUCAACCUACCUUACCGUCCGGGAUAACUAGCCGAAAGGUUAGCUAAUACCUGAUACGAUCAUCUGCGGCCCAUUAGCUAGUUGGUGAGGUAACGGCCCACCAAGGCAACGAUGGGUAGCUGGUCUGAGAGGACGACCAGCCACACUGGGACUGAGACACGGCCCAGACUCCUACGGGAGGCAGCAGUGAGGAAUUUUCCGCAAUGGGCGAAAGCCUGACGGAGCGACGCCGCGUGCACGAGGAAGGUCUUCGGAUCGUAAAGUGCUGUCGAGGGGGACGAUUAUGACGGUACCCCUGGAGGAAGCCCCGGCUAACUACGUGCCAGCAGCCGC
This 435-nucleotide ribosomal RNA is filed under the name uncultured bacterium. Its description in RNAcentral is "SSU rRNA". It matches the Rfam family "Bacterial small subunit ribosomal RNA", at positions 26 to 518 of the family's 1533-position model. The record is from RNAcentral.